CCGGAGCUUGCUCCACCGAAAGAAAAGGAGUGGCGAACGGGUGAGUAACACGUGGGUAACCUGCCCAUCAGAAGGGGAUAACACUUGGAAACAGGUGCUAAUACCGUAUAACAAUCGAAACCGCAUGGUUUUGAUUUGAAAGGCGCUUUCGGGUGUCNCUGAUGGAUGGACCCGCGGUGCAUUAGCUAGUUGGUGAGGUAACGGCUCACCAAGGCCACGAUGCAUAGCCGACCUGAGAGGGUGAUCGGCCACAUUGGGACUGAGACACGGCCCAAACUCCUACGGGAGGCAGCAGUAGGGAAUCUUCGGCAAUGGACGAAAGUCUGACCGAGCAACGCCGCGUGAGUGAAGAAGGUUUUCGGAUCGUAAAACUCUGUUGUUAGAGAAGAACAAGGAUGAGAGUAACUGUUCAUCCCUUGACGGUAUCUAACCAGAAAGCCACGGCUAACUACGUGCCAGCGAGCCGCGGUAAUACGUAGGUGGCAAGCGUUGUCCGGAUUUAUUGGGCGUAAAGCGAGCGCA
This 522-nucleotide ribosomal RNA is filed under the name uncultured bacterium. RNAcentral's name for it is "bacterial SSU rRNA". It matches the Rfam family "Bacterial small subunit ribosomal RNA", at positions 73 to 573 of the family's 1533-position model. The record is from RNAcentral.